Carassius gibelio (silver crucian carp) is the source of this 821-nucleotide long non-coding RNA. RefSeq lists it as uncharacterized. The transcript has 3 exons. NCBI's taxonomy places the organism in Eukaryota, Metazoa, Chordata, Actinopteri, Cypriniformes, Cyprinidae. The record is from RefSeq and is a predicted model, not a curated record.
UGUGUAGGCUGUGCGUAGCCACGAUUUAGCUCGUAUUCAGACCCGGCUAUUGUAGCCCACUUUUUGUCAAAACUGAUUAAUUGUAUUUUUUUGCCAGGCAGUGCAUGAAAUGGUUAAUAUUCAAUCAUGUUCGCAUUGGUAUGAUAUCAAGGUUCAAUACGUCAUUUCACGGCAUGGUAGAUCACGAUUUAGCUCCGAAUUGGACGGGCUAUAUGCGGUCUGCUUUAGCCCACCUGGCGAAAUUAUUGCAAUCUGGGCUCAGAUAUAGACCAGCGACCUAGAAUAUUAGUCUUUGAAAUGUUUUCGCUUACACAGCUUAAUAUAUAUUUUCUGUCAAACAUUCAUACACAAUCUACGAUAAAAAUAUCUAAUCAAAUGCAAUUGCAUUUCCCAACCGCUAGAUGGCACAAUUGAAACACUACUGAGACAUGUCUACUGGAACUAAUGCCAUUGCGUGACUAGAUCACUUAAGCCAAAUCUCGCGAUAAACAUUUCCGCCAUUUUAUUUUACACGAGGCAGCUGUCGGAGAGCAACGGGUGAGCAACAGUCUGAGUGAAAACCUUCACAUUUCUACUUCGAUCUUAAGAAAGCCAUACAGGUUUGGAACCAAGUGAAAACGCAGUGAUGACCAGCUUUCCAUCAGCUAUGGAAUGUGAAAUAAAAAAUGCUAUUUCUAAUCAUUUCAAACAAGCACCAGGGAGGGCAGGGGGUGGGGGUUAUGGAUCUAAAGUAAACAGUUAAUUCUUAAAAAUUAAUUGUUUUACAUAUUUUUCCAAUGUUUUAUUUGUUCAUUUUUAUGUUUGAAUGUUGUCCAAGUUGU